RNAcentral lists this transfer RNA (72 nucleotides) under Actinomycetota bacterium. RNAcentral describes it as "Actinobacteria bacterium tRNA-Arg". It matches the Rfam family "tRNA". Rfam says of the family: Transfer RNA (tRNA) molecules are approximately 80 nucleotides in length. Their secondary structure includes four short double-helical elements and three loops (D, anti-codon, and T loops). The record is from RNAcentral. Lineage: Bacteria; Bacillati; Actinomycetota.
GCUCCUGUAGCUCAAGGGACAGAGUGCCCGGUUCCGAACCGGGUGAUGGAGGUUCGAGUCCUUCCGGGAGCG